GCGCUCGUGGCGAAAUUGGUAGACGCGCCAGACUUAGGAUCUGGUACUUCGCGGUGUGUAGGUUCGAGUCCUAUCGGGCGCACCA
Molecule: transfer RNA, 85 nt
Filed under: Candidatus Minthosoma caballi
Lineage: Bacteria; Pseudomonadati; Bacteroidota; Bacteroidia; Bacteroidales; Bacteroidaceae
Description: tRNA-Leu
Rfam family: tRNA
About the family: Transfer RNA (tRNA) molecules are approximately 80 nucleotides in length. Their secondary structure includes four short double-helical elements and three loops (D, anti-codon, and T loops).
Source: RNAcentral